AUAUAAAUCGGUUGCCAAAGUACGUUAAAUAUUACGUUAAACUCUAUUUUCAUGUACUGCUCAGUCUGCCGCAGCCAUGCACGGGAUUGCAGCUCUUUACUGCUUUGCGGCCGCAGUAGGCGUCGUCUACGGUCAGUGCACAGUCAAGAUAAAGGUCACUGGGCAGCCUGUCGAUGUCACCAAGGCAGACGGAAUAUGGCAUGAAUAUCGGCAUUUCGAUAUGGAUCAACCGUAUGACGCAACAAAGGACUCUACCAGCUACAAUUUACUAAUGAACGUGACCAUUCUCGGUAUCAAUCCCGAACCGGGUAAAGACGCUGGCUCCACUAGCUACGCGGUCAGCUGGAUGUACAACGGUCUGCAACCCGGAGCAGCAGCAACCGAUCCUCUGACCUGUGGGGCGAUUUGGCUGUAUGGCAACUAAAAUUCCGAUGGACGUCGUAUUGUCAAGGUCCAGGCUGACAACAAGCCGCCUUACAAUGAUAUCUACGAUUAUACCUAUACGAAUCUCUUCACGGAUUAUAAACUGGUACAAGUGAUGUGUCGCUGCGAUACGCCCAACGCCAAUGGCGUGACGUGCGACUCCCCGUUCGCUUGGGUGUUGACACGCAUAAAGCCGCCGCUGUUGACCACCGCGCAGAAACAGUACAUCGAGGCCGU
Long non-coding RNA from Paramacrobiotus metropolitanus, 660 nucleotides. RefSeq lists it as uncharacterized. Lineage: Eukaryota; Metazoa; Tardigrada; Eutardigrada; Parachela; Macrobiotidae. The transcript is spliced from 3 exons. The record is from RefSeq and is a predicted model, not a curated record.